GACAGAGGAUGCAAGCGUUAUCCGGAAUGAUUGGGCGUAAAGCGUCUGUAGGUGGCUUUUUAAGUCUGCCGUCAAAUCCCAGGGCUCAACCCUGGACAGGCGGUGGAAACUACCAAGCUGGAGUACGGUAGGGGCAGAGGGAAUUUCCGGUGGAGCGGUGAAAUGCGUAGAUAUCGGAAGGAACACCAGUGGCGAAGGCGGCUACCUGGAUUGACACUGACACUGAGGCACGAGAGCGUGGGGAGCAAACAGG
This 253-nucleotide ribosomal RNA is filed under the name uncultured bacterium. RNAcentral describes it as "partial 16S ribosomal RNA". It matches the Rfam family "Bacterial small subunit ribosomal RNA", at positions 524 to 776 of the family's 1533-position model. The record is from RNAcentral.